RNAcentral lists this ribosomal RNA (459 nucleotides) under uncultured bacterium. Its description in RNAcentral is "partial 16S ribosomal RNA". It matches the Rfam family "Bacterial small subunit ribosomal RNA", at positions 338 to 795 of the family's 1533-position model. The record is from RNAcentral.
CCUACGGGUGGCAGCAGUGAGGAAUAUUGGUCAAUGGACGAGAGUCUGAACCAGCCAAGUAGCGUGAAGGAUGACUGCCCUAUGGGUUGUAAACUUCUUUUAUAUGGGAAUAAAAUGUUCCACGUGUGGGAUUUUGUAUGUACCAUAUGAAUAAGGAUCGGCUAACUCCGUGCCAGCAGCCGCGGUAAUACGGAGCAUCCGAGCGUUAUCCGGAUUGAUUGGGUUGAAGGGGUGCGCAGGGGGGCUGUUAAGUCAGCGGUAAAAGCGCGGGGCUCACACCCGGCCCGCCGUUGAAACUGGCAGUCUCGAGUCGGAGAGAAGUAUGCGGAAUGAGCGGUGUAGCGGUGAAAUGCAUAGAUAUCGCGCAGAACUCCGAUAGCGAAGGCAGGAUGGCGGCUCCACACUGACGCUGAGGCACGAAAGCGUGGGUAUCGAACAGGAUUAGAUACCCCUGUAGUC